This 1001-nucleotide long non-coding RNA is filed under the name Canis lupus familiaris (dog). Its description in RNAcentral is "lncRNA (ENSCAFG00040003171.1)". The record is from RNAcentral. Lineage: Eukaryota; Metazoa; Chordata; Mammalia; Carnivora; Canidae.
GCAAGUUCCCGUCUUCAUCUUCUUCCUACCAUAUCCAACACAUUAUUCUUCUCUGACAACUACUUUGAGAUCCUCUUUCUAUUCUUGAGAUGACUGUGUGUUAAGAGUUUUUUCCCCUCUUUUUUUUAUUAGGUCAUGAUCAGAGCUAUCCAGCCCACCCCAAAAUUUCAAUUACUUUGAAUACCAGAAAGAAGGGAAUGAGGUCUAGGUUUCCUCCUUCUACGAAUGCUCUGGGAAUUCUCAGUUCUAGGAAAAACACGAGUCCACGUGAGUUUCCAGAAAACUACCCAAGUAACUGUUAAGUGAAAGCAUUUAACUGCAAAUAAGGUGAGCUACAAGCCUGAAAACAUAGUGUGGAAAAUCCUGUUUACCUGUUCACCUCUUAGGCAGGCUGUCUGACCAGCUUGCUUAUCCAUUUUUUUCCAAGGCUGAUACAACUUGUGAUUUUUCACCAUACUCUUCCUCCAACUAAUCCUAUCAUCCCCAACCCUAAUGCCAGAACAUUCUUUGUCAUGGUAAAGGUACUAUUAGAAUACCUGCAGUAAACUAGUAGGUCUUAAUGCUAAUGUCAUAGUGGGCCUGGGGUAAGAUUUUCUUUAAUAUCAAAAUCAUAUCCUGGGAUGGCUAGGUGGCUCAGCAGUUGAGCAACUGCCUUCAGCUCAGGGUGUGAUCCUGGGGCCCUGGGUUCGAGUCCUGCAUCAGGCUCCCCACGGGGAGUCUGCUUUUUCCCUCCGCCUCUGUCUCUACCUCUCUCUGUCUCUCAUGAAUAAAUAAACAAAAUCUUUAAAAAAAAAAAUCAUAUCCCUCUCCAAUAAAAGUACAAGGGCUUUAUUUCCAGGCCUCUAUCUUCAGCCAUCUUAACCAAGAUAUUAUUUAGACGUGAUUUAACGUUUUCAAACCUUCAAAGCAAAUGAGAUCUCUAUUGAUCAAAACACAAACUAUGUGGAUGGGCAGGAGUACUCUGAAGGACUGAAAGAAAGGUGACUGUAGCCACCAGAAGG